This 385-nucleotide long non-coding RNA is filed under the name Rattus norvegicus (Norway rat). RNAcentral's name for it is "long non-coding RNA NONRATT025780". The record is from RNAcentral. Lineage: Eukaryota; Metazoa; Chordata; Mammalia; Rodentia; Muridae.
AGGAAUUCACAAGUCGAAUCACCUCCAGAUCUUCGAUAAUGUCGUGCAGUUGUGUGUCCGCCGUGAUGAACGAGGAGCAACAGCAGCAGAAGUCUCAAGUCUGAAGCGUAAUACAUUUAAUUUAUGGACUGUCUUUGGGACCGACAACCGUGCAUGUUAAGGCGCCAGUCUUUACAACACCACUGUUCCUUAUUCCCGUUGAAAACUAUUGCGCAGUCAUAUUCUUUUAUGUGGUCGUCAAGAAACAUCAAUUUGUCACUGAAGUUUCUUUUUCUUUUCUUUCUAAUUUAUACACAGCAGUUUAUAAAUCCUUAGUGACUAAAGCAGUCCAAUUCAUUUUUAAAAACUUACUCAAAGUGUAACAAAAUAAAAGCUGACAAAACUG